UCCCUGGUGGCUCAGAUGGUAAAGCGUCUGCCUGCAAUGCAGAGACCCGGGUUCGACCCCUGGGUCGGGAA
Ovis aries (sheep) is the source of this 71-nucleotide transfer RNA. It matches the Rfam family "tRNA". From Rfam's summary of the family: Transfer RNA (tRNA) molecules are approximately 80 nucleotides in length. NCBI's taxonomy places the organism in Eukaryota, Metazoa, Chordata, Mammalia, Artiodactyla, Bovidae. The record is from Rfam.